GAUGAACGCUAGCGGCAGGCCUAACACAUGCAAGUCGAGGGGCAUCGCGGUGCAGCAAUGCACUGGCGGCGACCGGCGUACGGGUGCGUAACGCGUAUGCAACCUGCCCCGCACCGGGGGAUAGCCCGCCGAAAGGCGGAUUAAUACCCCAUGGUCCCGGGGGCCCGCAUGGGCAUCCGGGUAAAGCCUUGGCGGUGCGGGAUGGGCAUGCGUGCCAUUAGCUGGCUGGUGGGGUAACGGCCCACCAGGGCAACGAUGGCUAGGGGGUCUGAGAGGAUGGUCCCCCACACUGGUACUGAGACACGGACCAGACUCCUACGGGAGGCAGCAGUGAGGAAUAUUGGUCAAUGGGCGGAAGCCUGAACCAGCCAUGCCGCGUGCGGGAUGAAGGCCCUACGGGUUGUAAACCGCUUUUCCCCGGGAAGAAUAAGCCCCCGCGGGGUGAGUGCCGGUACCGGGGAAUAAGGAUCGGCUAACUCCGUG
Molecule: ribosomal RNA, 483 nt
Filed under: uncultured bacterium
Lineage: Bacteria
Description: bacterial SSU rRNA
Rfam family: Bacterial small subunit ribosomal RNA
Source: RNAcentral